This 253-nucleotide ribosomal RNA is filed under the name uncultured bacterium. RNAcentral's name for it is "partial 16S ribosomal RNA". It matches the Rfam family "Bacterial small subunit ribosomal RNA", at positions 524 to 776 of the family's 1533-position model. The record is from RNAcentral.
UACAGAGGUCCCGAGCGUUGUUCGGAUUCAUUGGGCGUAAAGGGUGCGUAGGCGGUCUUCUAAGUUUGAUGUGAAAUCCCGGGGUUCAACCCUGGAAUUGCAUUGAAUACUGGAGGACUAGAGUACCGGAGAGGAAACUGGAAUUUACGGUGUAGCAGUGAAAUGCGUAGAGAUCGUGAGGAAGACCAGUGGCGAAGGCGGGUCUCUGGACAGUUCCUGACACUGAGGCACGAAGGCCAGGGGAGCAAACGGG